Molecule: non-coding RNA, 9401 nt
Organism: Python bivittatus (Burmese python)
Lineage: Eukaryota; Metazoa; Chordata; Lepidosauria; Squamata; Pythonidae
Source: RefSeq, a predicted model, not a curated record
GGCAACUUAGCUUGCAGCAGGAAUGUGGGCGAGGCAAGUGGCUCAGAAGGAACCCUCCCUAGUUUCUUCAGCUGAAAAGGGGACGGGGCGGAGGAAUGUACUUUUAGACUUGCAAGAUUCUGUUAAUAUAACCUUACAAUAAAGUAGAAUUAGCUCAUCUGGCCGUGCUUUCUGAGUUUAGCUGAAGUUGGGGUUGGGAGUCGGGUGGCAUACAGAUUUAAUAAAUAAAUAAAUAAAUAAAUUUUAAAAAAUGGUAGCACAAGAUUUGGGGCUAUGACAAGACUGAGGAAAAUUGAAGAAGAUGCACAGAAACGGAUAAGGAGUAAGAGUAACAUGCAGAGGAAAUUAGGGAUUCUGCAGUGUAGUAAAGUCAGGAAUAAGAAAGAGUUCUGAUAGUGAAAAUAAUAAACUCCUAGUUUGUUGGUAGAAAUAGUUUGCUUGUGUCUCGUUUGUUACUCAAGACCUUGUGUACAAACAUCAAAGCCAUCCUUUAAUUAGCACUGUAUAGUCUUGACCAGUUUGCUCGCCUGCUUGUUUGCUUGUUUAUUUAUUUAAUAUUUCAGAUUUAGUCACUGCUCAUCUCAGCUUGAGAAAGCUUUACUUCAGGACAUGGAGGAAUUUUGUGACAAUAGCAAAAUUCAAUCGCUAAGUGAGGAACUCCAUGUUGGUAAUUGUUGGCUGUGCCAAAUCCUUGAUGUCAUCUAUUUACUGACCUUCAGACACUUAAGCGAAUAUAUCAUUUCUCUUGUAUUCAAACAACUGCUAUUUGAACUGAGAGAGAAGUCCAGAAUAAUUAAGUAAUCAGUGGAAUCAUUCUCUCAAGUAAGAGGCUAGGUGGGAAGUUAAUACUAACCCUUCUGGGAUCUAAAAACAAUAUCAUUUUUUUCUGUAGUGUACUAUUCACCAGGCAUUGGGUCAAUGGGUCAUAGGGGCUGAGAGUGAAAGAAAGUUGCAAGUAGUUGGCACUGAAGAAGAGAAAUAAUAACCUGCAAGCAAUAGGUAAGAAGAAAAGGCUUGGGCUAUGGAUGUUGCCAUGCAACUGGCUUGCUUUUCAUCCGUUGUGAAGCUCCAGUCAUUAUCUUAAUGAAGAACAAACAGAAUUUUGUAAGCUACAGAAAAUCUGCAAGACUGAAAGACCAGAAAUACAUGGUCUCUACAUUCUGUUUACAAAGUCUUUAGGACAAUCUUUCCUAUCUUAAUGUGUAAAGAACAUUUGAUCUACAAAGUGUAUUACUCUGACAUUAGCCAUACUGUUUGGAGCUAGUAGGAACUGUAGUCCAAAACAUGUGGGAACCCAAGAUGCUGUAGACCUAAUAGUCCUUACUGUACUUGAUUAAUAAUUUCAUAUUCUUAUAAUUAUUUUUAGCAUUAUUGCAGCCUAGCAUAUUAGGAGAAAUAAAUUUAGGCAUCUGUAUUCUCUGUUUCUUUGGUACCCAAAUUACAUUAAAAUUAUGAUUCUUACAAAAUUGAUAUACUAGAGCUUGGCUCAGGCCAAUUUGUCAUAUGAAUACUGUUUUGAUGCAAAGAUUUAUUUGCCAUUAAACAUAGAUGCCUCGUUUCUGCAACUUAAUUCCCAUAAUCUGCAUGGUAAAGCUGUGGUAAAUCUUUUUUCAUGUGGUGGCCAAGAAAACAACAUGGAUGUGUCCAGGUAGUUCACAGGAGUUGAGUUUGCAUUUUUCCCAUUGAAGCAAGUGACAAUGUGUGCGCACAAAACUGAGAGCAGCUUCUGAAGAAGCUGUGUAAGCCUAGAAAAAGAUGUAUCCACUUUAAAAAGCUGGCUUCUAGUUAUGCCAGAAGAUGGGACUUCCCUCCAAAGGCUGUUAAGAUGGCAGCCCAAUACAUACGUUCCCAAGACUUUUCUUAUGCAAUGACCUGGCUUUAGCUACAGCAUUUUAUAAGAAAUGAAGAUGUUGGAGCCUCCAUUUGUUAGGUUUACAGUUAGCCAGGAAACAACAGUUCCACAGGUAAACAAAUAUUCUGACUCUUUGAAACUCUCAGGUUGUGAUUCCACCGUGGACUCUUCUAAUCAUUGUCUGAUGAAACAAAGAUCAUUCACUUUUACUAAGCAGGGGAAGUCUAUAAAAUUAUUUAUUUAUUGAAUUUCUAGUCUGCUCAACUCCAGAAGAACUCUGAUUAAUUUUAUCAAGUUAAAUGAAACAACUUAUAUAAAAGGAACAACUGUCAUUCUAGAGAACAACACAACAUCCUUCCACAUAACCCCCAACUUUAAGGGCCCUGCCCAAAUACCCUAAGCCAAGGUCUGGGGAAAACAUCAUGUUUUUAAGGAUUGCUUGAAAGAGGGGAAGAUGGAGGCCAUGCAAAUCUCUGGAUGGAUGCUACUCCUAAGGGCAGGUGCUAUGACAGAGAAGGCCCACCUCCCAGGUCCUGUUGGGUGACAUUGAUUAAUCAACAGGACCUGAAGGAAGCUGACUCGGAGCACACAGGACAGGCAGCCAGUAUGGGAGACAGGCUGUCCCUCAAAUAGCUGUGCCACGUAACACCUUGAAUUGCACCCAGAAGUCAACUAGCAACCAGUGCAGCUCACGUAGCACGGUUGUUACAGUUAGGCUUAUCCAUCACUGUUCUAAAGGCAACAGCAGUUUUGAUGAAUAGCAAUUUAUGUGGUGAAAAUCUCUAAAGACAGUAACAAUUUUAACUGUGAGAAACAGUUAUUAGGAAAUGAAAGUUAUACAUUCCAAAAACAAGAAUAGAAAAACUCUUAGCUGGUUAUAUGAACUGUUAUUUCUGCCAAAGGAGGUGUUAAACAAUACUGACAGAAAGGAUGUCCAACCUUCUGCACCCACUGUUCACUUAGUGAUUAACUGAAACAUACAUUUGACCUGGGGUGCCUAGUUUUCGUAUUCUCCUGUGAACCGCUCAGAAAUAGCAAGAGUGCAUUCAGAUUUGCAGAAGGAUGUCAUGUUUAACUUUGUACCAUGCAUCGAUUGUGUCAUCUCUGUUCUGUUAGUUUCAUGCAGUUUUAUGUUGUGAAAAUCUUCAGAGAUGACCAUACCAGGAAAAGAAAUCAUAUACAUUCAUUUGAAAUAGCAUAAAGGAAUAAAAACAGAUCUCUUAAAAUGUAAAUGAACCCUGGAGUGAAAAAACAUUUAGUCUUGUCAUUUUCUGUGUGAGGAACAAGAAGAGUGAGCAGGUGUCACUUUGGUCUUCGCUCUGAGUUUUAACUUCCCAACUGCAUUCUCCUGUGAGGUUAAGCUAAGAGAAAAUGUACAGCCUUCAUAGUUUAGUGGGUUUUGAAAGCCAUGUCACCCCUCUCCUUAUUCAGUACUCUGGUGAUUAUGUACAGUGACCCUUUCCUACCCACUGAAUGGCAAAGUGAAGUUCUCUCUGAGUGAUUUCACAGGAUCUAUUGUGCCGUCUCUUUAAGUUUUUUAGAGGCUUUAGUGUUGGAGCUGCCUUAGAAUGUUAAAUAGUUUUAACAUUUUGUGUAUUAUAUAUGCAUUCUUAUGAGCUGCCUGAAACUAUUGGCCUGGAAGGCAUAUGCAUUUAUUAAACAAUAAACAAAGUGAGGUGGUCAGGGAAAGAGGAUGGUUUUAUAAUUGCGAUAAUUUCAUACAAUUCGGCAUGUAGAAUUGUACUACUGUACAUAAUCAGCAUACUCCUAGUUGUUUAAUAUGAGAAGAUCUUUCAUUUCCAGAAUUACUUUCCUCCAAAAUGUUUUCACUCUACUUUUAAAUCAUAAAAGGGGAAAACAAAGUGCUCCUUCUAACUGGAGAUGCAUCAUCUGGCAUCUCAGGACUACGUGCGGUCCAUUAAUGUCUUGGGUAUAGCAACUCCAAAAGUCGCAAUCAAUUUAUAUUUUCAUAUUACAGGAAAGGAACUGAUUAACUAUAUUAUUAGAGGAUAUUUUUAUUAACUCUGUUUAACAUUAAUUACAUUGAAAUGUAAAUGAAAUAAAAACUAAUCCAAUUUUUGUCAUGGCUUCACUUACUACUUUUGGACUAUAGAACCACUUAGAAGGCAAGUGUGGCCCAUCCCAGAAAAUGUUGGACCUCAUCUUCUAAAUAUUGAUAGGGUAGAGGGCUAAGACAGCCUCAGAACAGAUGAGGAAAAGUCCACUGGCAAGAUCAAGAAGAAGAACUAAGAGACAUACUGUGAGAACAUUUAGCUUCCCUAUGGCCAAUCCUUAGAGGAAGUGAAUAAAACUUUUAAGAAGCAUAUGAAAAAUAUUGCUGAUCAGUACAAAAAUAAGAGGAAUUGACUAGUGCAAAAAAGUCAUGAUGGCACCAGCCUGUUAGUGCAAAGAAGUGAGCAUGGUUUCAUCUACUAUUAGGUAAUUUUAGCUUUAUAAUGUCUUUACAAAGAAAUUGCACUUAUUACUCUUCACAAAUGUGUUGAUGACUUUUAAUUGGGAGAUUGUAAUUUACAUUUUUAAAUCUUACUCAUCCUGGGGCCUUCUUGUUGUGAUAUACUAUAGCUCUGAUUCUCAGCCAGCGCUGAUUAAUGACCUGUUGAGUAGGAUCAUACCAUAUUUGAGCUGCAAAUACUGUAUCUGGACCAUGGGUAGAUGACAGCAGAGAGCUACAGAAAACAGUCGUUUUUUGCUGCCAUACAGUGAUUAUUCAGAUUUUUGCAGCCCAAAUAUGGUAUGCCUGAUGUAGGUUCAAGAUUGUGGGGGUUAUAUUCCAACACAUUUGGUGGGCACUUAAGAGUGAGACACUUCAGGAGGUUUAAACUUCCAUUUUGGAAUCUUAAGUGCAAGAUGAAAUACAUAUUUUAAAUAUAGCAUCUUUUUCAGAAAAAUAGUUGGCUGGCCCAUUUUGUCUUAGACAACUAAAGGAUUUUUUGAAAUUCUGUUCAGUUGCCCAUGUUUCCAUGCUUUUUCUUCUUUUUUGCUACAUAAACCCUCCACUAAAGUCACUUGUUGAGAAAAUACUUUGAAAGAGAGGGGCAGGGAUAAGAAAGCUGAGUCUACUCUUAUUCACAAUUCCACUUAAUUGUAAUAUCUCAUUGUGUUUUCUCUCUUUAAAGAGCACACUGUGGGAUAGGGUUGGCUACAUUCUAUUUUUUUAGCUAUGGCAGCACUGUGGGAUAUUCAGAUUCUGUGUUGUACUUUGUCAGAAAAUGAUCUGGUGGGAUACAUGUAUACCUACCAGAACCAUGGCUUAUUCCUCACCAGUACCCACAAACUAGACUAAUCACAUAAGCUAGAAAACUUUUGUGAAUUACCUCUAAGCAUCCUAGAGCUUGCCAGAUGUGCAGAGACUUGAAAAUAGGGGUGUGGAUUCCUCCUGAUGUGCAUACCACAUUGUUUUUAUAAGCAAAAGCAACUCUGUAAGGAAAUCUACACGUUGUCUCAAUCUCUAACCAUCUGUUAUGAGCUAUUCAAUGGUUGGCAAACUUUUUACCUUCAGGGAAUAUGUUCUACAUUGAGUGCUACCAAACACAGCAAAAACUCUGCAUUUCAGAUCAUUAGCUUCUUGUACCUCUCACAGGGGAUCCAGCAAAUCAGUGAUGAUUCAGAUUGUAAAAGAAUCAGGUUCUUUAGAUGUUUCUGUCUCAAAGUUGGAGGCAACAUGUCUGCUUGUGAGCUGCUCCCAACUUUUGUGAAUUGAGGGACAGUUACUCCCCAUGUCCCCUGUCUUCCAGUUCUGGAAAACAGUUUUUAUACUUCCCUGGGGGAGUUUGUCCAAGAGGAUAAGGGAAUGGUUUUACUCUCGUUCAGGUUUGAUUCCGCAGUGGGACAGUUUGAUUCUGCAGUGGUUGUGAUAUGGUAGGAAUCAUUGUCUCAUCUGCAGAGGAAUCCUCAAGCAAUUACUCUCUAAAGCAGUGUUUCUCAACCAUGGCAACUUUAAGAUAUGUGGACUUCAACUCCCAGAAUAGAAAAACAUUGCUCUAAAGACAUGCUGAAUGCAGCAGAGGAUUCUGGCACAUAUUCCACUAUGCAUUACUUGGUUUCAUUGCAGUUCUGUCUGAAUUAUAUACUAAAUUAUACUGAGCAUUACUUUGCUGCUGUGCUUACAUUAAAAAAAAAUGCAAGAGGUUUUUGUUUUUUGUUUUGGUUUUUUUUUACUAUGCAGAGUACAGGAAUAAGAAUGUUGACCAAAAAGGCUAACUGGUUGGGAGACCUUUUCCUGGGAAAAGACAAAAGUGAGAUUAAGAUUACAAGGAGCAGAAAACAAUAAUAGUGAGGAAAAAAGGACUGCUUAAUCUCUCUGACUUUUUCCAAGAAUUGCUCAAUUUGAGUUGCUUUUCUUCCUGUGAGGGAGAAUAUGGUUGUGCUCGCAUGACAGGCUUGUCAAAGUCAAGUUUUAUUUGGUUGUCCAGUGAAUUUUGGACUUACAGUCCACGUGCAUUUUGCCCAUGUGUGUUGGAUUUGUAUAUAGACCUUGCUCACAGCCUUGGAAGAGGGGAGAAUAAUUUUAAGACAAUUUUGUCUCUUUUUGUUUGCUGAAUUAUGCAAAUCUAUCUUCAUUAUCUAUUCUUAGUUUAAUUACAGUUUGUUCAGUUGUUCCAAUUGCUUGAAUUUGUAUAGCACCCUAAGCUCUCUACAGUACAGGGUUCUGCUUGCAUGAAUUACUAAAAUGGAAUUGGCUAAUUAGUAUUUCAGUGUGUAAUAUAAGCGCAGCUUCUGUGGGGCCUGGAUCUUUUUAACUCUUGGGAGAAAAGCAGAUGGGCAGAAAGGAACAGUUUAGAAAGGAAAGGAGGGGCUUUUCUUGAGAAAGCAAGCUUAUAUAGCUUAAAAAUGUAAUGGGUGGGGAGGAUCAUAGAUAUAUGUGUGUGCAUGUGCGUGUAUAUACAUACAUACAUACAUACAUACAUACAUACAUACAUAAACAUACUAGAAAAUAAAUACAGAGAUGGUAAUAGUGUAAUAGAAGUUCUCGUUGCAGGAAGAAAGAACUUAAUUCUUGUUCUGGUAGAGAAGGGAGAUAACCUCUUUGUGGUUAUGCAUUCAAAUGGUGACCACAGGAUGAUAUGGUUUGGUUUGGUUUGGUUUGAUAACAGCACUUUAUGUCUGAAGGCGCAGAAGGAGUUGGACUUGGGACAUUUGACUGCUGCGUUGUUCAGCUGAUUCUACAGAGGGCAGGGGGUAAGGCCUGGUGCCAACAUAUCUUGGAAGUACUUGGUGCCUGAACUGAAACAUGAAUGUGACCACAGCCUAGGGAAUAUUAUGCUUUCGUCAGCCUUUCACCUACAUGUACUUCCCCAUGGGGUUUGCCAUACAUUCUCAUUGCCUUUUUGAAAGGAAGGAUUGACUAAUAAUCUAUUGUUUUGCAUGUGGAACUGGCACUGACAACAACCGAUGAGACAGCACACAAGUUUCCAGCAUACAGAUAUUAUUAAUUGGAUCAUUGGAUCAAAGGAAUUUAAACUGGCUUUUGUUUUUCUCCAUUUGAUGAAGUUAUUGUAACACUGCAUGCAAACACACUGAGCUGGGUUAUAAAUAUGCUUUAGAGAUUACAAAAACGUGAAUCCCUGUAAAACAGCCAUCAUGGGUCCCACUCAGCUUGUCACACAGAACCAUGGGAAGAAGACAAGUGUUUUUAACAUGGAGGAAAAAGUGUUUGCACUUUUCCAGAGCUCAGAGAUUCCCUCUGAGCCUGUAGAAAACCCUCCCCUGAAAAGGAAGAAGGGGCCAGCCCCUAAGAUGCUUGGAAACGAGGUGUGCAGUGUAUGUGGGGACAAAGCCUCAGGCUUCCAUUACAAUGUCCUGAGUUGUGAGGGCUGCAAAGGUUUUUUCCGACGCAGCGUCAUCAAAGGGGCCCAGUAUAUCUGCAAGAACAGUGGCAGGUGUGAGAUGGAUAUGUACAUGCGCCGGAAAUGUCAGGAGUGCCGGUUGCGCAAGUGCUAUGAAGCAGGCAUGCGAGAACAAUGUGUUCUCUCUGAAGAGCAGAUCCAGCUGAAGAAGCUUAAGAAGCGGGAAGAUGAUCAAGCCCGGAUGAUAGCUAUGCGUCAGAACCCACCAUCUCCUCCAAGCACCUCUCCCAAAAUGACACUAGAGCAGCUUGUUAUGAUAGAAAAGCUUGUUGCAGCUCAACAACAGUGUAAUCAACGGUCUUUCACGGAUAGACUCAAAGUGACGCCAUGGCCUCAGAUUUCAGAUCCUCUUCACCGUGAAGCAAGACAACAGCGCUUUGCUCAUUUCACAGAGCUUGCCAUCAUUUCUGUGCAGGAAAUUGUGGACUUUGCAAAACAGUUGCCAGGCUUCUUGGAACUCACUAGAGAAGACCAGAUUGCUCUUCUGAAGACUUCUACAAUAGAAGUGAUGCUGUUGGAGACAUCUAGGCGCUACAAUCCAGAAACAGAAAGCAUAACCUUUUUGAAAGAUUUGAGUUACAAUCGGGAUGAUUUUUCCAACGCUGGCCUGCAAAUUGAGUUUAUUAAUCCCAUCUUUGGAUUUUCAAAGAGAAUGAAAGAACUACAGCUCAGUGAUGCUGAAUAUGCACUUUUAAUUGCCAUCAGCAUUUUUUCUGCAGACCGGCCAAAUGUUCAAGAUCAAUCACUGGUCGAAAAGCUGCAGCAUACCUAUGUAGAAGCCCUUCACUCAUACAUUUGUAUUCACAGACCAAAUGAUCAUCUAAUGUUCCCACGGAUGUUAAUGAAACUGGUCAGUCUUCGGACUUUAAGUAGUGUUCAUUCUGAACAAGUGUUUGCUCUUCGGCUACAGGACAAAAAGCUGCCACCGCUUCUUUCAGAGAUCUGGGAUGUUAAUGAAUGACUAUAUUGUCUAAGGAGAGUGAGCUAUUACAUCAAUUACCUUUUGCCAAUAAGAACUGUUCUCCUUUAUCAAAAGAACUGAAGCAAUGGAGAAAACUGUGAUUUCUUUGCUCUGAUGGAAUAUAUAUAGAAAACAGAUGAGAUGGAUCAGAUGAUGUUUUAGUCAUUAUUUUUCAGAAAUGGAACUGAAAUACCUCACAUGGAAGAGAAAAAGAAUCCAUCCUAAUAAUUUUCCAGGAACUUUUUUUUACCCCUUUUUUCCUAUUUAAUUUCAAGGCCACACCAUCCAGACUUAUAGAAUCUUCUUGGGAGUUUCAGAAGCAAGCUUCCUUGUAUAACUUUUUUUUUUUUUUGAUCCUCUGGGCUGAAUGUAGUUAAAACAUGUUGACAUUCAAAACAAUUAAUAGAAAGCUGGAUAGACUGUGGACAUAUGUGGCUUAGGUGCUAUUUUGCAGACUUUACAGAAGCGACUCUUUGGAUUGGAAGGAUAGCUAUACUGUACCAUAGAAAUCUCCUAGGACCUUUUAUAAUAUUUCUGCCCUCUACCCCCCAUCAAGAAAUACAGUCAUUACUGAUAUACGUACAAUAACUAGGAAGACAUGAUCUGUUAUAUGAAACUCCUUUGAAUAUGGAGAGGUACAUCAUACAAACACAUAAUCUAGAUCAGGGGUCCUCAAACUUUUUAAACGGGCCAGUUCACGGUCCCUCAGAAUGUUGGGGGG